CAGUCGCCGCGGGAAUACGAAGGGUGCAAGCGUUACUCGGAUUUACUGGGCGUAAAGCGUGCGUAGGCGGCUUCUUAAGUCGGAUGUGAAAUCCCUUAGCUUAACUUAGGAAUUGCAUUCGAUACUGGGAAGCUAGAGUAUGGGAGAGGAUGGUAGAAUUCCAGGUGUAGCGGUGAAAUGCGUAGAGAUCUGGAGGAAUACCGAUGGCGAAGGCAGCCAUCUGGCCUAAUACUGACGCUGAGGUACGAAAGCAUGGGGAGCAAACAGGAUUAGAUACCCCAGUAGUCCCUGUCUCUUAUAC
RNAcentral lists this ribosomal RNA (301 nucleotides) under uncultured bacterium. RNAcentral describes it as "partial 16S ribosomal RNA". It matches the Rfam family "Bacterial small subunit ribosomal RNA", at positions 509 to 807 of the family's 1533-position model. The record is from RNAcentral.